This 1294-nucleotide ribosomal RNA is filed under the name uncultured fungus. RNAcentral's name for it is "eukaryotic LSU rRNA". The stretch from base 636 to 1294 matches the Rfam family "Eukaryotic large subunit ribosomal RNA", at positions 1 to 649 of the family's 3401-position model. The record is from RNAcentral. Lineage: Eukaryota; Fungi.
AAGUCGUAACAAGGUUUCCGUAGGUGAACCUGCGGAAGGAUCAUUAUCGAAUAAACUUGAACAGGUUGUUGCUGGUCUCUCUCGAGGCAUGUGCACGCUUGUCAUCUUUAUCAUUUCUCCAACUGUGCACAUAUUGUAGACCUAAUGGAAUUCGUUCCGAGUCGGGAUUGCUGCGCUUCAUUUUCAAAGAGGUCGGCUUUUCCUUGCAUUUUUCAGGUCUAUGUUUCACAAUCUCUGUAAUGUUUAGAAUGGUUGGAUCAUAAUAAAAGUUUAUACAACUUUCAGCAACGGAUCUCUUGGCUCUCGCAUCGAUGAAGAACGCAGCGAAAUGCGAUAAGUAAUGUGAAUUGCAGAAUUCAGUGAAUCAUCGAAUCUUUGAACGCAUCUUGCGCUCCUUGGUAUUCCGAGGAGCAUGCCUGUUUGAGUGUCAUUUAACUUCUCAACCCCAUCGAUUUCUGAUGUGGCUUGGACAUGGGGGUUGUUUUUGCAGGCCUCUGAAUGAGGUCGGCUCCCCUGAAAUGUAUUAGUGGUAUCUGAGCAGGACUACUAUGCCAUUAGGUGUGAUAAAUUAUCUAUGCCUGUGGUAUUCUGCAUGAACAGAUUGUGCUGCUUCUAACAAACAUAUUUGACAAAUUUGACUUCAAAUCAGGUAGGACUACCCGCUGAACUUAAGCAUAUCAAUAAGCGGAGGAAAGAAACUAACAAGGAUUCCCCUAGUACUGCNAGUGANNNGGAAANCUCAAUUUGAAUCUGGCGGUCCUGACUGUCCGAGUUGUAAUCUAGAGAANUNUUACNUGUNNUGGACUGNGUAAAAGUCUUCUGGAANGAAGCAUCACAGAGGGUGNGAUUCCCGUCUUUGACAUGGACUGCCUGUNCAUUAUGNUGNGCUCUCGANGAGUCGAGUUGUUUGGGAAUGCAGCUCAAAAUGGGUGGUAAAUGCCAUCUAAAGCUAAAUAUUGGCGAGAGACCGAUAGCGAACAAGUACCGUGAGGGAAAGAUGAAAAGAACUUUGGAAAGAGAGUUAAACAGUACGUGAAAUUGCUGAAAGGGAAACGCUUGAAGUCAGUCGCGUCAUCCAGGGAUCAACCUUGCUUUUGCUUGGUGCACUUCCUGGUUUGAUGGGUCAGCAUCAAUUUUGACCGUUGGAAAAAGGCUGAGGGAAUGUGGCAUCUUUGGAUGUGUUAUAGCCCUCUGUCACAUACAAUGGUUGGGAUUGAGGAACUCAGCACGCCGCAAGGCCGGGUUUUAAACCACGUACGUGCUUAGGAUGCUGGCAAUAUGGCUUUAAUCGACC